RNAcentral lists this ribosomal RNA (301 nucleotides) under uncultured bacterium. Its description in RNAcentral is "partial 16S ribosomal RNA". It matches the Rfam family "Bacterial small subunit ribosomal RNA", at positions 509 to 809 of the family's 1533-position model. The record is from RNAcentral.
CAGCAGCCACGGGAAUACGGAGGGUGCAAGCGUUAAUCGGAAUUACUGGGCGUAAAGCGCACGCAGGCGGUCUGACAAGUCAGAUGUGAAAUCCCCGGGCUUAACCUGGGAACUGCAUUUGAAACUGUCAGGCUGGAGUCUUGUAGAGGGGGGUAGAAUUCCAGGUGUAGCGGUGAAAUGCGUAGAGAUCUGGAGGAAUACCGGUGGCGAAGGCGGCCCCCUGGACAAAGACUGACGCUCAGGUGCGAAAGCGUGGGGAGCAAACAGGAUUAGAUACCCCGGUAGUCCCUGUCUCUUAUAA